Molecule: ribosomal RNA, 253 nt
Filed under: uncultured bacterium
Lineage: Bacteria
Description: partial 16S ribosomal RNA
Rfam family: Bacterial small subunit ribosomal RNA
Source: RNAcentral
UACGGAGGGGGCUAGCGUUGUUCGGAAUUACUGGGCGUAAAGCGUACGUAGGCGGCUUUGUAAGUUAGAGGUGAAAGCCUGAUGCUCAACAUCAGAAUUGCCUUUAAGACUGCAUCGCUUGAAUCGUGGAGAGGUAAGUGGAAUUCCGAGUGUAGAGGUGAAAUUCGUAGAUAUUCGCAAGAACACCAGUGGCGAAGGCGGCUCACUGGCCCGGUACUGACGCUGAGGUGCGAAAGCGUGGGGAGCAAACAGG